AGAGUUUGAUCCUGGCUCAGGAUGAACGCUGGCGGCGUGCCUAAUACAUGCAAGUCGAACGGUCUAGCGCAAGCUAGAUAGUGGCGAACGGGUGAGUAACGCGUUGGUGACCUGCCCCGAAGUGUGGGAUAACAGUUCGAAAGGAUUGCUAAUACCGCAUGUGGUCACUGGGAUUAGAUGCCUGGUGACUAAAGGAGUAAUUCGCUUCGGGAGGGACCUGCGUCCCAUCAGCUAGUUGGUAGGGUAACGGCCUACCAAGGCUUCGACGGGUAGGGGACCUGAGAGGGUGGCCCCCCACAAUGGAACUGAAACACGGUCCAUACACCUACGGGUGGCAGCAGUAGGGAAUAUUGGUAAUCUGCGAAAGCGGGAACCAGCAACGCCGCGUGUGCGAUGAAGGCCUUCGGGUCGUAAAGCACUUUUUAAGGGGAUGAGGAAGGACAGUACCCUUAGAAUAAGUCUCGGCUAACUACGUGCCAGCAGCCGCGGUAAAACGUAGGAGACGAGCGUUAUCCGGAUUUACUGGGCGUAAAGCGCGUGCAGGCGGUUCGGCAAGUUGGAUGUGAAAGCUCCUGGCUCAACUGGGAGAGGUCGUUCAAUACUACCGAACUAGAGGAUGGUAGAGGGAGGUGGAAUUCCGGGUGUAGUGGUGAAAUGCGUAGAUAUCCGGAGGAACACCAGUGGCGAAAGCGGCCUCCUGGACCAUUUCUGACGCUCAGAUGCGAAAGCUAGGGUAGUAAACGGGAUUAGAGACCCCGGUAAUCCUAGCCGUAAACGAUGUAGACUUGGCGUCGGUGGGGUUAAAUCCAUCGGUGCCGCAGCUAACGCGAUAAG
This 834-nucleotide ribosomal RNA is filed under the name uncultured bacterium. RNAcentral describes it as "bacterial SSU rRNA". It matches the Rfam family "Bacterial small subunit ribosomal RNA", at positions 8 to 864 of the family's 1533-position model. The record is from RNAcentral.